This 253-nucleotide ribosomal RNA is filed under the name uncultured bacterium. RNAcentral describes it as "partial 16S ribosomal RNA". It matches the Rfam family "Bacterial small subunit ribosomal RNA", at positions 524 to 776 of the family's 1533-position model. The record is from RNAcentral.
UACGAAGGGGGCUAGCGUUGUUCGGAUUUACUGGGCGUAAAGCGCACGUAGGCGGAUCUUUAAGUCAGGGGUGAAAUCCCGAGGCUCAACCUCGGAACUGCCUUUGAUACUGGUUAUCUUGAGUCCGGGAGAGGUGAGUGGAACUGCGAGUGUAGAGGUGAAAUUCGUAGAUAUUCGCAAGAACACCAGUGGCGAAGGCGGCUCACUGGCCCGGUACUGACGCUGAGGUGCGAAAGCGUGGGGAGCAAACAGG